Long non-coding RNA from Mesocricetus auratus (golden hamster), 6960 nucleotides. RefSeq lists it as uncharacterized. The transcript is spliced from 2 exons. NCBI's taxonomy places the organism in Eukaryota, Metazoa, Chordata, Mammalia, Rodentia, Cricetidae. The record is from RefSeq and is a predicted model, not a curated record.
AUGAAUCUGGAGCUCAGCAUCUUCAGCUAGUGCAGCUAGCCAAUUUGCCCUCGGGACAGUGUCUGUGCUUCCGGAGUGCUGGGAUUAUGGGUGGCUGCAGAUGCAAAGGGCCUUUACGUGGUUUCUGGUCCUCCGAACUCAGCUCCUUGCUGUUGCAUGGCAAGAACUUUAUCCACUGACUCACCUUCCCAAUAGCCAAACUUCCCAUGUUCCAAGUCAGAACAGCCCUUCUCUUCAUCUUAGAGAAGGCCACUCUCACUGAGUCCCAUGAGUAACAUUCCUCCUUCAUCUUCUUCCUGCUAACCCUCAUUCUGCCUCACCGGGUUUCAAUUCUGCUAAGUGGUCUCUUUGCCCUUGGCCCUACUGUCUCUGACUCAUGUACACUUGGUUCUGGGCACAGAAUGGAGUUUCUAAAGCAGUCUGUCCUUCCAGAUCCAUCUUCAACAGCUUUUAGAGGCUCCUUGUAGCCUCCAGGAUACAGCUCACUGUCACCCACUCGUACGUCAUGAUCCUUGCCACCAGCUGAGUCUCACUUGCCUUCUUUUUGGACCCUUAUUCACCCCCAUUUCUUCUCUGUGUUCUGGAUAAGGCUUGUGACAUUUAUAUGCUCAUUUUCUCUGCUUCCAUUUGCUUAUAUAUACCAUCAUCUCUCCCAUCCCAUCUUCCAGGAAUCCACUGAUACUCCUUUGCUGGUUAACUGGGCCUCAGUGAUCACUUCUCUGCUGACGUCAAGGCUUGACCUCACAGGCAACAGAUGUGUAAACUUUGGAUGUCCCGAGGAAAUUUGCACUUAUGCCAGUAGCCAUUCACAUAAGUAUACCUGCUAAUUCCUUUCUCUAUAUCUGUAGCCCCUAAGCUUCUUGAGGGUAGGUUUCCGUUUCCUUUCUUGUUCAAGUCUGAACACCUAGUACCUGACACUGCUAUGUUCAGCCAACACUCUCUGGCUAAUUGAGUGACUGAAGAGUGCUCAGUGCAACUGGGAUCUUGAUUGUGUAAGAUAGUAAUGGAGUGUUGAAGGUUGUCCCUGGUAUGAUAGUGACCCAGUUGAUGGCUUAGGAAGGUUGGCAGGGGAGAUGAAUGCAGAAUGCAGUAAGGCAUGGGGUGAUGAGGACCUUGGGAAGUUGGCAGUGGUAUAGGGCUGAGGUGCCUAUUCCACUCCCAUCCCAUAUGCUUCCCAUGGAGUCCAGGAGAUGGAGGCAAUUCAUGCAUAAUUGAAAACAACCCAAAUCCAAGAAUGGACUUAUAAUAAGCGUGUCAUGAAACUGAAAUGAUCUCAUCCUAUGCCAGGAAGGUACUAAUAUACUACAUUCUCCAAAUCUGAUUGUUUUCCUUUGUUCCCACCCCCCUUCUACAAUAGAGUAUGAUCUCUGUUUGGAUGAUGCUCCUAUUUGAUUGGUAGCUACCUUACCAUUAUCAUUACUGUCUGAAAUACGUGCACAGCUUUCUGAUAACUUGUCUGGGGGCUUUGACCCCUGGGAAGAAUAGAAUGACAACUGGAAGAGUCCAAAAUACUGCUUUUUAAAAAAAGUUCAGACUGGCUAAAUUUGUAGCUUAUCCCAACUCUAAUUUCUAGGCUAGGAACAAAGAGCACCCUCACAUGGCCCUGUCUCGCCUGACCCAUGCUCUCCAGCGCAGUGAUAAGCGGGUGUGCUGCUUUGCUCUUUGUUAGACUGGGUUCUGCCCCAUCUCUCUAAAGAAAUCUUAUAAAUCAUUGAUGAGAAUUCUUCUAUUUUUGUCUUAAAUAUCCCAGCCAAGAAAGCCUCAUGAACACUUUCCAAAUCAAAAGCUGGCAUUGCAUGAUGCUUCCUCAUUGAUGGCGGGCCCAUUUCAUUGUUUUUUUUCUCUUCCCACUUUUGGCUCUGCUGUUGGUGACAACAAUGCCAAGUCUCAGCCUGAGGGUGUGGAGGCAGGGCUGGUGCUGAUGCUGAACUCUGUGUGGCCUUUCUCUCUUUCCUCUGUCUGGCAUGCCCUUCUCCUCCUGUCUGCAAUGAUAACUGGUGUUCGUUUUCAGUAAGGUUUGCUCCUACCUUCUUUCUGCCUCUCUCUCAGUCCCUACCCCAUAAACUCUGUGCCUAGAAAUUCAACCUCCAUCUGCACAUACAAGGUUUAGUGGAUAAAAGGGCCUAUCCCACGGCACGUGCCGAGUCACAUUUGUUCAUAAAGAUGACGUCCCACUUGUUCCCCACUAGCAAGGGGAUUACAAAUGGCUCAUGACAAAUAACCCGUAGCUGAAUUGAAUGAAUAAGUGAAACCAAAGGCCUAAAAGGUUUGACACAUUGCAUGCAUGUUAGGUCUUUUGCACCCCCAAGAACUCUCUGGACAUGCUACCUGAAGGUGGUUUAACACAGAAUGUUUCUGCGACUCCAAAAUUAUGCUCUAUGGAGAGGUAAGAUGAGGAGAAUUCAUUUUUUUCCUCAUGAUCUCCAACUUGUUGGGUCCGUCUCUCACUUUGGCUUCUCAGCCUUCAUAAAAAUACUUUACAUUGCCUCUCCUUCGCUUAUGAAUUGUUUGCUUUAGUAUGAGCUCUCUAAUCCAAGUAAGUCUUGUAUUCCAGACCAGAAUAGAAAUACAUGGAGGAAAAAAAUGUGUCCUUUUAAUUUGCAGUCAAACUGUGUAGACUCCAUUCAUCAGGAAUUUCUUUAUUUUUUCUUUUUCAUUCUUCUCUCAUACAAUACACCCCAACUGCAGCUUCCCCUCCCUCGAUACCUCCCCAGUACCCACCCCACUCCCAUCGACUCUGUUUACCUUCAUAAAAGACCAGGCCUCCCAGGGAUAUCAACGGACUGUGUAGCAAUGUUCAAUAAGACUAGGGACAAACCCAUCAAGGCUGUAUGAGGCAACCCAGUAGAAUGAAAGGGUACCAAGAGCAGGCAAAAGAAUCAGAGGCACCACCACUCUCACUGUUAGGACCCCCAUGAGAAGUCCAAGCUAUUCAACAAUAGCAUGUAUGCAGAGGACCUAGUGUAGACCCAUGUGGGCUCCAUGAUUGCCACUUCAGUCCCUGUGAGCCCUCAGGAGUCCUGCCAUCUGGUGGGACCCUGCUUUUAUUUGUAAUAUUAAAGCUUAGAAUCUAAGUUCAACAAGAAAUCAACAGUGUAUUUCCAACUAUUUUUUUUAAAUCAUGGUUUUUAUAGCCAUUUUCUGACAACAAAAGUGUUAUGGAUUUACAUAGCUUAUAUAAUUGCAUAGGUAUGCAGCAGAAAAAAUGUUAGAUAAGUCAAAAUCACCCAGGGGACUGGACAAUUUUUAUUAUGUCUUUGUAACAAUUAGAUGCUUUGGAGAAUUCAUUCUUUGGUAUUUUUACGACUAUGGAGAUGGUGCAUUUUCUUUGCCAUUAACUUGUGUGUCAGUGAUAAGUGAUAAGCCAGAACUGUGGAACUGCCCACCAGUACCAAACUGCUUGCAUUGAAGCCCACCAUAACCAAUGAUGUGCUGUCUUCCAUGAGUGCCGUACUCUGCACCACAGUAUCAGACCGUGCCCGAGGAGGUGGGUGUAAGCCUUUAGUCCGAGACCAAACACAAACACCUGGAAGAGCUUUCCCUCAGAUGAGUUGCCUCAUCUCCUGAAGAAGGCAGCAUUCUGGUUGAACACGGAAGGAGACUGCUGAUCUUAUAAGCCAGGAUUGUGCCUGAUACCUAAAAAGUGUUCAGCAAACGCUGUUGGCAACCUAAGAAGAGACUUGUGUUCUAGGCAGCCGGAAAGAGUGAGACACGGGAAGCAGGAGGUCCAAGCUCAUUUGGGAUGUGGUGAGUCAUAUUCUGGGAGCUCAGCACAAGGCUGGGGUGUCUGAGCCAGUAUCUGAGGACGGAUCUGGUUGGCUGGGUGGUGGCUGAGUGUGAAAGUCCUUGAAUUGAGCUGAGGAUUUUAGACUUUAAUCAGAAGGCGGUGGAAAUCCCUGAAUGUGUUGGAGCAAAGACAAGGCACGAUCCAUGUUGGUGAGAGGCUGUGUGGGGUGGUAAGAGCUGGGAGCAGAGCAAGCCUCCUGAGGCUGCUGCUGAAGAUUGAAUUGUGAGUAUCAGAGUCAUGAACCAUAAGAGUAGCCGUGAGUGGGUGGCAGAGGGGGGGCUUUUCAAAAACAGAAUGUGUAGUUCUGGGGGCUCCCUUCAGGGUGAUAUUUCCUUUUUGCCUGGGAACCUUGGCUUCUUGUCCUCUUCUGCCACACUGUGUCCCAUGGUAUCAGACCCUAGAGGGGCCUGACGUCUAUAACUCCCCCCCCCCAGAGGUGGCUCUCACUCAGAGACAGGAUUGACUUGAGGCUGGAGUGUGUGGAUGAAUUUGUUAGCAUCCUUUUAUAUUUAUAAGUUGUUACGAUUUGAGUUAUGCAGUGUGAGUGUAUGCAAGUGUGUUUUCCCACUCAGUGGGCCUGCAGUCUCAUAGGUGGGAAGAAGAAAGGCUGUAGAAUAGAUGGCCUGGAUUUGAACCUGGCUUUCACCUGCAGGAUACAUGCCAACAGCCAGUUUCCUGUCUGCCUCCAGCCUCAGAGUCCAUACCUGUGGAGCUGGGAGGAAUGUAGCCUUCUGAUUUCCUUGGCUAUGCUAAAUAAGAUCACACCUGCUGUGUGUUUAGUGUGGUACCCCGGGCACCAGAAGAAGUCAGUCAGUACCGCUACAGCUAUUGACGCUUCUUCAGGCAUUAGUGGUCAGGGUAGGAGUCCUAUCUUCCCUAAGCCCUUGUCAGCCCAGCCUGUGUGUGUGGCCGCUAGACAUAUCUUCUAGUCUGGUUAUUAGUGUUCUUCCCCUCAAAUCCUGACCACCUUACAAGCUGAUGUAGAGGGUCCUAGUCUGUGACACAAGUACCUGCAUUCACAUUUGGGACAAGUUCAUUAGCUUUACCAUGCAAAAGACCUGGAAGACACCCCAAGACCUAACCUUUGCCCUCAGGGAAUUCCCCUGGGGAAGGGGCGAUAGAGAGUCCUAAUAGAAGAGCUAGGACAAUGAGGCAAGGCUAAGGGGAACCCGGGCUGGCAUGUGCCCAUUGGGAGCAGCAGCCCUGCCAGGGGAGCACAGUGGUAGGAACGGACUUCCUGGAGUCUGUCUGUGCAGCUCCCCGGCAACUUCCUGUCAUCCUCAGCCAAGGGUAGGAGAUGUGACUACAGGGGACACCUUGAGACUGUGGGAUCAGGAAAUCCCUGACACUGAACACCUCUCUUCAAAGCAAUAUAAAUAAAUAGACUAAGUAUUGAAUACAAGUGCCUGAAUGUGUGAAUGGUAUGGAGUCACGCCAUGGGCAUUUGUCUCCACUGAAGAGAAAGUUGGAAGUGUUGGGACUGGUACACAUCAGUCAAAUUUGUGGCCGCAGAGCCUGUCACUGUAAAAAUCAGUCAUAAGUAAGGCAGAACUGAGACCUGGCUAUCCUGAGGGACUUACAAGUUUAAACCAGGACAAACUUUAAUUUGGGAAGUCACUGUGUUCUUAAAUACUUUACUGUGUUCCAAUGGGGCUGUUUUCUCCAGCUGAGCAACAGAAAGUUCCCACAGGCUUUAUUGCCUAGCACUGGAAGGGAGAGACAGGGACUGCACUCAGGAAACCACCUUUGGAAUCAAGUUCCUCAGAUGUCAAAAUAAACAUCUAAAGAAGGUGGAAGUUGACUCUCACUUCUGUUAUUCCAUGCACUGUGUGUGUGUGCGUGUGUGUGUGCUCACUCACAUAUGUUUCCAUGUGCGUAGUCAUUUGUGUGUACAAGUGUGCAGAAAACAGAGACUGAUGUGGAUAUCUCCUCAAUUACUUUCCUUCUUAUAUCCUUAUUUAAUGGGACGGCAUUUGUCACUUGAAACCAAAGGUUGUUGACUUGGCUGGUCUAGGGGAUCCCUUGCCUUUACCUCCUGAAGCACUAGGAUUAUAGGGAGCUACCUCACCCACCUGCAUUUACUUGGGCGCUGGGGAUCUGAACUCAGGUCUUUAUGCUUGGAUAGCAAGCACCUUUCCCACUGGACCAUCUCCCCAGACCUUAACUGGCAUUCUUAAAAUGAGAAUACAUGCAUUGGAAACUUUACUCCCCCCCCAACCCCCAUGCCCUGGUUUGAUUGAUGAGUGCUCUGGUUUGCAGACAUCUAAUUUGAAUUAGCUGGAAAGAUUUAAAAAGUGAGCUACAUUGGAAGGUCUGGAAGGUACAUUGGAAGGUCUGGAAGGUCUGGAAGGUUGGUUCAUGUGUCCUGGGCUGAACAGAGGGCACCACAGUCUACAGUUUUACCUAACAGCUUGCAUGCACCUUGGUGAGCCUGAGUUUGCAAUCCUGAGCUGGUAAGCUGCUCCCUAGAUCUCACAGGGAUCUUCCAAUGUCUGCCUGGUGGUGUGAUGUGCACUUCAAGCUACCACCUUCGCCAGCCGCAGCCAAGUUAUGGAAACCAAAGGAGUCAUGUCCCACCCAUUUCGAGCUUUCCCAGUUUCCCACUCUAUUUCCAAGUGUGCCUGUGAAUCAGCAGCUAAUGAACUUGGACAGCAGAGCAGAUUUAAAUCUUGCAAUCACUGCUGGGAAGUGAGCUGUAUCAUCUUGAGAAAUCAGACCACAGAGACCAGCCUGCAGCUGGCAGCCUGGGUCAUCUCUAAUCACUUAACCCUUCGUAUCAAAGGAUGGCUGGGAGCAGUGGAUUCCUUCUCUAAAAUACGCUGUGGUGCAUUUUAUCAAAGAACGUCGGAGAGUUAAAAUGAAAUAGAGUGUGCACAGCAAAUCCUUGCCUCAUAAGUGGACUUGGUGCCUAUAUACAUGAGUGAUUCUGUGUAUAUCUCAAUGCAAUCCUUCCCCUAUGGCUUUCUGCUAGUGUUCAAGUGCAUAAGUGACUGUAGCAUGUAUGUACAUAUGUUUUGGUGUGAGACUAUUCAAUGCCUCUUUCUGUGCAUGUGCGGAUGAUAUGUGUGUCCAUUGUGUGCCUAUAGGAAACUAUUUCUGUGUCAUAAAAUAAAAGCGAUGCUAUUCAAGGCUGGCCCAGAAAAAUGUUUGAAAUAAAGGUCGGAGUGAUUUUU